CCUGCUCUCAGCAUUCUUUAAUUGCCUGUAAUUCUUUAUGUGGGGUUGAGGUCUCCUGAGUUUUCCCCACCCACUUUAUCAUGUCUGGUGUCCUUGUUUAGCUCAUGUGUAGGCAGUCAUGUUGGUAAGACUUAUCUCACAGCAAACUCUUGGAUCUUAUGGUUCUUAAUAAAUAAUCUUUCUGCUCACUCUUCCACAAUGUUCCCUGAACCUUAGGUGUGGGAGUUAUAUUACAGGCAUAUCUCUUGGGACUCAGCUCUACAACUUUCAUUUUGAUUGGUUGUGGUUUUCUGCGACAGUCUCUGUUGCAAAGAGAACUUUCCUUCAUGAGGAUGAGGAUGGGGCUUAUCUGUGAGUAUAAGGACAAUUAUUUAGAAGGUAGUUACAGAUUAUGCUGGUUUAGCUAAAUGUCAGUUGCAGAUCUCCUAGAACCCUGACUUUAUUGGCCCUGAGUAGAUGGCUAGGUUUCCACUACUGACAUGAUUUCCCUUUGCUGUGUAUAUGCACCACAUUUUCAUUAUCUAUUUGUAGAUUGAAGAACAUUUAGGUUGUUUCCAUUUCCCAUGUACUGUGACUAGAACAGCAAUGACCAUGACUGAAAAAGGGAUUAGUAGCUAGAAUAUGCAAAACACUGCAGAAAACCCCACUAAAUGCCUCUAAAUCAAGCAGCCUAAUAAAUGGCUAAUGAUGAAAUGAAUAUGUAUUUCUUAAAAGAGAAAGUUCUAGUGACCAAUAACCGUCCAUAGAAUGGCAGUGGAGUUUUGGUGAGGAUUUCAUAACCAAGGUGUUUCAAAGCUGGACCAGCAUUGUCAAGAAGAACAGAAAAAUUCGCAGGCAUGUGGUGUUUAAUCUUACUGUGUGCCUUACUGGCAACAUGACGAGCACUUCUAGGGACCUGAGAGUGCUCAUUCUUGAAAGAAAAACAUAAACACAAUGUAAAAGUUAGUUCCUGCGUUCAUGGGGCACGUGGUCUGAAUAGGAUGCAGACAGGAAAUAAUCCCACAAGUAAUUGCCUCCAUUGUGGAAAAUUAGAUGCAGAAAUAAGACAGUAGAGGAGAAAGAGAAGAGCAUGGGAGAGAGAUGGAGGCAGUGGGGAGGAGAGAGAAGAAAAGAAAAUUGAUAUGAAAACAGAUAUUUAUGAAGAGAAGCAUCAGAGCCUGGCUUGCUGGUCCAAACCUGUAACUCCAGCACUCAGGAAACAGAGGCAGAAGGUGAUGUUCCCUAAAUGUGUUGUCACUGUUUCCUCAUUAAUCAGUUUUAAUGUCUCUACUUUUUCUGUAGAUAUCAGGUUUACUAAGUAGUCUGUGAACUUUUUUUUAAAGAUAAAUGCUUCAUUACAGAUUUAUUAUUUAUAGUGUCCUAUCUUCUUGAAAGAAGAUAGUUAUCAGGCAGGAAAUUCAGGACAACGGGCUGAAAAAUAUUCACGAGGACUCAUGAGGAAAACCAUCACUCCAAUUGUAAGGUUUCCUUACAAGCACUUAAACAUAGCUGAGGCAACCACAUCUGUGAAACCAACAAAGCAGCUUCCUUGGCUUGAUCUGACCAAUAUUUACCACCAUUUAGUUAUGCUCUCUGUAGGCAGGCACUUUACUGUUUGAAGAAAUAAUUGUCCAUAAAGAAAAAAUGAUUAAUUGUGAUAUGGCUUUACUUAAAUCUGUUUUGUAGUCAUUGAGCAUUUCACAUGAAUAAAUUAAUCUUUCAUAUAUCAUAGUCUAUCUCAAAUAGCUUCCCAAAUAUUUAAAAUGGUAAAGGACUCUAUUCAUGGCAUACAUAUAUGAAAGAGAUUUUGUUACUAUGUGGCUUAUUAGCAGAAUAAGGAAAUUAUUCUAUUAAUCAGACAAGGAGGGUGCAGGGAAAGCAGCUGUGAUUGUUAAAGAGAUUAAAGAGAAAGCUUGGGCUCUGCACUGGGACAAUAGGAAUAGUGCCCUAAAGACUCCAACUGUUGGGAGCAUAGCAUGAAGGUACUUGCGCCCACAGAUCUCCAGAGAAACCAGGAAUGUUAAGCAUACAGGAUUAUCUUUCCAAUGGGAGAGAUGAAAAACCUGUUCUUCCAUCCAGAAAGCUAAGAAUUGGAAGUGAUUGACAGCCUGGUGAUCUGUAUUAUCUGUUGGGCCAGGCCACAUCAAGCUCCUAUAACCAGGACUGGAGGUGACUAGUAAUCUAAAUGACCCUUACAGACAGAGCCUUCCCCAAGCUCUUCCAAGAAGGACCAGAGGUGGCUAACAGCCACAUGACCUUUAUGCUAUCUGUAUGACCGAGAGCAGGCCAGACCCUUAAGCUAGCACAGAUAGCCUGUCUCUAGACCCGUCUUCUUGGAAGAAAUGACAUGUACCCUGUGUUGAGUUUCAAUGUAAUUAUGCUUCCUCAUGCAACAGGGAUUGUGUUACAUCAAGAAACUUUUGCCUGUUAUUAGAUUCUCUGAAGUCACUCUGCAUUGAGUUUCACUCUUAUCUCUUCACAAGGUUUGGUCCUCUGUAUAACACCUGUGAACAUGCAAAUUCAUUUCAAAAGAAAGAGCCUGACACCUGCCUACAGAAGUGUUUCCUUGGGGUCACCCUGGGAGUCCUACAGGGACCAGUGCAAGUGUGGUCAAAGGGGACCAGGCUGAGAGCAGAACUUGGCAGCAUCAUUCACAUGGUUCUGAUUCUAUAGACAUGAGGAGUACAAGGGUGAGGCUUUUGCCAAGGUUCCCAAAGCUGGCUAAAGCUAGGACAUGUGGGGCGGGGUUGGAUUCCUGGAAAGAGGUUCUGAGGUCAUUUCACAGCAUGGAAGGUAAAUCUUCUAAAUUGCAGUGAAGCUCCCAGGAUGCUGGAGAUGCCAGCACUCUAAGAUGUCUGCCAAAGAUAGCUGCAUGAUUUAAGAGGACUCAGCCCACAGGACAGGCUAGAUGGGCAGCAGGCAUCAGAGAUGGAUGGGAGAGGCUUCCCACACCAUUUGGAUCCUAGCUGACCCAAGGCACAAACCUCAAAUGCUGAACACAGCUGCAGCGCUUGGUUCUCAACCUCUGGGCUUCCGUCUGGCUUUGGUCUGAUCUUUCCUUGCAAUGUUCUCAUUCCCCUUUUGGAAUGGGAAAGUGUACUCCAUGCCAUUGUAUGAUGUGAGUAUGCAACUUUCUAUUUGAUAUCAUAGGGCUCACAGCUGUUUACCCAAGUCUCUGAAGAUCUCUGCACUGACAGUUUUGAACAAUGUUGGAACUGUUAAAGACUAUGGGGGUGUUUGGAGUUGUCUUGGGGGUGUUUUUGUUACGAGCUUAUAAAAAUAAAAGUGGAAGGUUAUGGCUUUAAAGUGAUAUGUUUGGUUGUCAAAUUGAAAAGGGGAGAACUUGAUGAUGUUAACUGAUAAGGUCUAGAAUCAUCUAACAAUAAGCUUUUGGGCAAAUGUGUGAGGGAGUUUCUGGAUUGCUUUGAGUUUAGAAGACCCACCUUAAAUGUGAGUGACACAAUUUUAUGAGCUGGAAUCCCCAACUAAGAAAAAAGGAGAAAGUGUCUGGGCACCAUCACUUCUCUCUUUCUCUGCUUCCUGACUGCAGAUACCAUGUGAUCAAACUCCUGUCACCAUGACAUCCCUGCUGUGAAAAUGUAAUCAAUUGCUGCACCAGAGAAGUCUGUAGCACCUGGACCACCUGCUCAGAGGGCAGCACUGCCAGCAAUGGGCUGGGCCCUCCCACAUCAAUCAUUAAUCAAGAAAAUGCUUCCAGACUUGCCUACAGCUACAUCUUUAAAGCUCUACCAUCCAGUGACCAAAGAGCUGAAUUGAACAAAUUGUUGAAGAGGAAAUGAAAACGAAAGGAGAGAGUUGGAGAGGCAGUUCCUCCAUGAUGCCAGAAGCCCAGGCGAGAUGCUGUUUACCAGAGAUAUUAACAUUUCAUAUUUUUUAGAUUUUUAUUUAUUUAUUAUGUAUACACCAUUCUGCUUCCAUGUAUAUCUGCACUCCAGAAGAGGGCAUCGGAUCUCAUAACGGAUGGUUGUGAGCCACCAUGUAGUUUCUGGGAAUUGAACUCAGGACCUCUGGAAGAGCAGUCAGUGCUCUCAACCUCUUGAGUCAUCUCUCCAGGUCCAACAUUUCACAUUCUUAAUCAAUGUGCCCCUCAAGCAACUCUUGAGCCAAGCAGUGUGAUUAUCCAAGCUGGAACUAAGGGAGCAGGGGUAGUUAUGCCAACUGAUAUCCAAGCUUCCUUAGUAAUCAAAUAGCAUGGCCAGCAUCAUGUUGAUUGGUCCUGCCAACAAGGCUGGCUCUUGCAGUCAGCAGGGAGUACCACCUUCUGGUUCUCAAGCUCACCUCAAAAGAGGCCACCUGUCUUCUGGGGAGCUUGAGAAAGCCUGUGAGUUACCUGCUAUCAAAGGCUAGGAAGGGAUAAAAAUUAUCUGGGAAUAAAUAAACUAUUGAUUGACAACACGGGUCCAUCUCAGAAACACUGGGCAGAGUGAAAGAGAGGAGACAUGCAAGAUCUCAGGCACAAAGCCUAAAUGGAGAUCAGUAGAAACAAACCGGAUGAUAGCCAGUGGUUAUGUACGGUAACAGGCUCUAUGGUACUGACUGCAGAAGGGCAAGCCAGGCCUUUGUGUUGCUAUGGAAAUAUCAAAACUCAUGAAAUGAUGCAUUAAAGUGGGCAAAUUUUAUGUGUCUAAAUUAUGGUUCUGUAAACCUUAAAUAAAAUUUACCCUUCCAUCAAA
This is a non-coding RNA of Cricetulus griseus (Chinese hamster), 4673 nucleotides long. The record is from RefSeq and is a predicted model, not a curated record. NCBI's taxonomy places the organism in Eukaryota, Metazoa, Chordata, Mammalia, Rodentia, Cricetidae.